This 6383-nucleotide long non-coding RNA is filed under the name Brachypodium distachyon (stiff brome). Its description in RNAcentral is "long non-coding RNA (BDIS_LNC005240)". The stretch from base 5730 to 5855 matches the Rfam family "MIR1120/MIR1122 microRNA precursor family". The record is from RNAcentral. Lineage: Eukaryota; Viridiplantae; Streptophyta; Magnoliopsida; Poales; Poaceae.
UGGCAAUUAAUGAAACGAUAAGUGGGCAACAUAUGGAUGCUUCACAAAACACAAAGUCCCUACCAAAUUCCCCCAAAAGCUAGUGAGUUAAGAUUAUUUAGUUUCUGGUACGACGUUGCCCAAAUUGUAAAUCAGAAUUCAUACGAUCUUAGAGUUAUUCUCUCUUUUUCUGCGAGGAAUCUUAGAGUUAUUCUAAAUCUGCAGCAACAAGAAAAUUCCGGCCUGGGUUUCAAGACUUCUCUACUGUGUGCCCAUAUUUGCAUGUAUGUGGAAGCACAAAUGAGAAACACGGAAAAACACCUCCAAGGAUGGUUCAUCUUGAAAAAUGAAUUCAGGAUUUGAAGUCAUAAACUAAAGAAUUUCGAUUUCAGUUUGCAGAAUGGAUGUACUAGCAUAUAGACCAAGGAGAAACUGUGUUAAAAAAGCAUCAAGAAAAAUAUCUUCAGUAACACGACUUUGUUUCAGAUGUUAACCGCUAGAGGCCUAUUGAAUAUUUUCUAAAUAUAAUGUUAUUGCUAGCACAUCAUGCACCCAACAAAGAAAAUACUCACAGAUCACACGAGUGACUUAAGCAAACCGACACAACAGCGCGACAAACAAAUUAAGUAUAGUCCCCACCAUAUGUUCCAAUGUAGCAGCAACAAAAAUACAGUUCCUGCAGGUUUAGCAACUCAUCCGAGCAUAUUUACGCGGUACAUCAUAAUAACAUUAAAACAGAUUGGUUCAACUUAAAAACCGACAAUGAUCAAAGAUAACACGUACAUGACCAAAUGUAUGACCCAGGUUUAGUGUUGCUCGAAGACCAUUUUCCUUCUCAUCCUGCGCAACCACUUCAGCUUUGUUUUCACAUGAUCUCUUUAUUGCGUAGGUCAGGGCACUUGGUUCUCUACAAACAGGAAAUCCAAAUCAAGACGUAUUUAUAAUUCGUAUGAUCUUAACAAAUUGUGGUAUUGUGCCAUUCCCCUUCUUCCUUCUGUCCAUCACCGAAGGUCCGAAAGAACAGAAACAGCCAAGUCCCAAGGCAAUGAAGUGGCCAGCGCCCAGCGAGGCAGGCACGCAGCCGCGCCCGGCCAGUCGUGGAGUCACUGACCCCCCGGCUCCCGCUGUCCCUCCUCGGCUCCUCCAGGCUCUAGUCCUCCGGACUCCUUGUCCUCCCUGACUCCCUCUCCGGUUCUCCCAGUCUCGCUGGCUCCCUACUUCCCUAAUCCCUAGCGACUAGCGCCGCCGCCAGGCUCCAUGAGAGCGGAGCGAACGAGGAACGAGCCUCUUCUGGUUUCUGGACGGGGCGAUCGAACCAGUCCCCACUCCCCAGGCCGAGCGCAAGCACAAUGACUGCCAGCCUCCCAGGCCCAUAGAGGCAUAGAGCGAUUCCCAGGCCCAAGAGGCAAAAUCACAAUACCAUUAUGGUAGGGCGGGCCCGAAAAAUUAUGUUCUUACUUCUGAUGAACUGUUUCUCAAACAAAAAAACUUCUGAUUAACUGUUUCUUUUCGCUAAAAAACAUUGUUUCUUGUUAUCUUUCAGUUUCGCACAAGUGAGCUGCUAGAGAGUGUCACUCAAAAGUCUAUAUUGACACACGUCGGAGGUCAUAAAAGUCAGGCGAUGCUGGAUAUUUAACAUGCUGUAAGAAAAAAAAAAGAUGUGAUUAGUUGUGAUAUUUAUUUUCGUGAGAUAUAUUAUACAUUAUACACGUGCUAUUUACAUAAUUUUAAAGCCUCUUUUCCGAAAAAAUAUACAUAAUUUUCAAUCUAUGGAGCAAUUUUCACGUCUGAUUUCAAAAAUAAAUAAUGUAAUAUUUCUUCGCACAAUGCUUGUAUUUUUUAUCCUUUUUGUGUGUUGUCUGCCAUGUCUUUUGGAGGAUAUUAUUACCUUGCUCCGUCAAUAACACCAUGCAGAGCAAAAACCGUUAUACAAAUUUCAAAUUUGUUCUAGCAGUCAUGCAUGACACAUACCAAUAAUGCAGCAAAGUGUUGUUAGGAAUGGUCGACCUCUUGUUUGUCGAGUGUGGAAGCUAAAUUUUUCAUAGUUCCACGUUAAGAUUAGGUGUUUGGUGCAUCUCCAUCCAUCGAUUUCAAAAGGCAGCAUGAUUUGUGAGACCGCAAAGCAACUCAGUGUGGCGAGGUGGUGGAAAAAAUCAGGGGUAAAACCCAAUAUAUGUGGAGAGCGAGGAAGACAUAUGUGUUGUCAUAUACUCCAUCCGAUAAUAAAUUCUUGUCAUUGAAAACAGUCCGCUGGAUACAUUGGAGAUGAAAACAUCCAACGAGAGAGGAGAGUCACAGAGCACAUGGUGGUCGCCUGAGAGAAAGUUAGUAGGGAGGAAGCCAGCAGGGGGGACGUGUUGGUAUUCCCACGACACGACUGUCUGGACCACACCUAAGCACCUAGCUUUGUGCUCAUCGCGCAUGUUUUUGAAAUAUAACUAGCAAUUGAUCAACGCAUCUAAACAUAUAUUAUUUGUAGGUCCGUAGCAAAGCACGGGCUUCUUGCUAGUAGGUCUAAUGCCGCACUUUCUCUUGCUAUAUUUUUCUUAAAUCUGAGUAACGUUUUGUGGCAGAGCAUGCUAAUAAUAUCAACUUUAGAACCUGCUGAGUAGUACCUCGCUAACAAUGCUGUCAUAUUCUUCUCUUGCCACUCAAAGAAAGGUGCAUCUCUUACGAGCGCUAACUUCACCACCUCACCUAUGCCUGAAACCAGCUCCCUGUCAGGCAAUGUAUUCAGUGUUUCUGUGUCUAUCAGUACGCACUGUGGCUGGUAGAAUGUCCCGAUUAAGUUCUUUCCCAGUGGAUGGUUAAUGGCCGUCUUCCCUCCAACAGACGAAUCCAUCUAAAAGCAAUUCAUACAACGACCCACAUUAGAAACCAAAUCAGAUGUCCUCAGAACUCUAUUAAUCUUAAUCGAGCUUAGUGUAUACGUACCUGGGCCAUCAGAGACGUUGGUAUCUGUAUGAAAUUGACGCCACGGAGGAACGCAGAAGCCGCAAGCCCACACAUGUCCCCGAUGACACCACCCCCUAGCGCGACAAACGUGCACCUGCGGUCCAGCCGAGCCUCCACCGCCUUGUGAAAAACCUUCAUCAGCGUGUCCUGCACAUUGAUUAUUACAACAAGUUACACUAAUUACAUCCAAAUGAACUGAAGCACGAGCAGAAGGCUGGAUCCCGCACGCACCAUGACCUUGUACUUCUCUCCGUCAGGCAGGAUCACGCUCUCCACUGAAACAUUCGGGUUGUCGUGCGUGAGUGCCCAGGUCACUUUCUCCAGGUAGAGCGGCGCGACGGUGGUGUUGGUAACCACCAGAAGCCUCUUCCCGAUCACAUGCCUGGGCGGAUUAAAACACUAGGAUCACGAAAUGACCAACACGCGCGGAGUCACCAAUGGAGCAAAAUCAAAGAUCAUGAUGAUCCUGAGUACCUCUGCAGCAGGUCGGGCUCGUCCAGGAGGCCGGGGCCGAUGUAGAUCGGGUAGCUCCGGUCGCCGAGAUCGACGUCGACCACCGUGGAGACGCGGGACUCCACCGGCGGCUGCAUCGCGGGAGCAGCGGCAGAGACGAGACGGCUCCGGAGGGACGUCGCGGGGGAAUUAGCGCGGAGCAGAUGAGGGCAGGAGGAGCGAGACGGCGAGGGGGUGGAGAUAGCCACGCAGGAGGCGGAGGCAGCGGCGAGGAAGGAAGAGGCGGUCGCCGCCAUGGGCAACGAAACGGAGAGGGCGGCGGCGGCGGAGGAUGUUCGGCAGUGGUACGUUGUGCCUCGUACUGCGCUUUUUUUUCUCUUGAGCUGGAGAGAUCCCGUUACUUAAACUGUGCCAAGCAGAUCGCCGGCAACGAUGUCCUGUACAAGAUAGAAUCCGGCCAUGCUGCUUGGGACGGAUUGAACAGUUCGCAUCGGCUACCGGUAUGGCACGCAAUGGGGACGAUGUAGAUUGUCGUCUUUUUGAUAAUGAGAUUUUGAAGAUAGCUUACCACGUUUACCGCGUGGUGGAUGUCACGUAGAUGUCGUCUUUAUGAACGCUGAGAGAUAAAGUCUGCAAUCAACAUCCGAUCUCGAAAGUUGCACUCCACCCCCACCUGGCGCUCGUAAAGUUUCAUGCUCGCUAAAGUUAUGUCAAGAUCAUUCGGUUCCUUGUUGUUUGUGUUCGAAACACAGAAGUUCCCCUGCAUUUCAUCAUCGAGCUCAGGUAGCUGCACUGCUAGCUGUGCCAUGCUGGGCUUCAUAGAGUCAGCAAGGCUUUUCAAGUCUGAACACUUGAGGCUUGCAACAAGCAACACAAUACAGCCCAGUCCAAGAUAAAAAUGAAGAACUGUCGGACAAGUAAAGGGACUGAACUGUACACUUGUUAUGCUCCUCAAGAUCGACACAAUCAUCACACGAUUUCUGAAUUUCGAUAGCAUGCAGCAAGCCAGCGACAGAUCAGUGUGUGGUAAAAGAAACAGUAUAUAUACACUUGUUAUUGAACAGCUAGGACACACAUAUUGUACACUUUGUCAUGCAACAACACUAUCUUUAUAAUAUCUUAUAAGCUUUAUUACAAUAGAAGUAAAGCCGUCAGGAAUCGCUAACGGCGAUAUACUAGAAACAAACUCCGUUAUUCAAAACAACUGAUCAAAAUUGAUCAGCUACGGAGAUGCCCUACAAGCCCCUAACCAGAUUCCGUUAUUUUCGACAAAAAGAAUAACAACAAGGAUAUCAUACAAUGCACACUGUUUCUGAUAAGAUAUGAUAUUACAGCCUAUUUAGUAUACAAAAGUGCUGAAGAUCCAACUGAGAAGGAUCAGUUAUCGCAGAAUGCACGGAGGGUUUCAUCAAGGGCUUUUCUGUCAUAAUCGCCAGUAAAAACACAGCCUCCCAGAGGUCCUUUCAGAAGGAUGAGCCUCAGCAAACCAUCAGCAACCUUCUUGUCGACCUGAUAUGUGUCAUUGCGAAAAUCAGGUAAGACUGCUCUUUUUUUUGUACGAGUUUUUUUUGUACGAGGUAAGAAUGCUCUUCGAUACUAAAGCGACAACUUAAGAUGUCAAGACGUAUAUGUCUGCUAGAGCGAUGCAUGCAAAAUAAUAAAUAAAAAGAAGACAACAGUUUGAACUUCUGCCAUUAUUAAGAUACUUACAGCCAUAAUCUUUUUGAACUUCUCCACUGUCAUGCCCUUUGGUGGUGCAACAGGAAGCUUGGCUUGCUCUAGUAUGUCAAAUAUCCGUCUUUUGAGGGGCUCAUCUAUCCAGCCCAGCCGGUAAGACAUGUCGGCUGCCAUAACCUAUGGAAGUGGCAUCCCGGAAACAGAAGAAGAUGGUAAGAAAACGAGAUAAAAAAUCAUGAUUAAGUGGUUAUACCAAAAUAUUCAUGUGAUCUUACUGUUCCAGCUGCAACAGCCUCCCCGUGGAGCCACUCUCCAUAGCCAAGCCCUGUUUCUAUAGCCUAGCAAUUAAAAUGAAACGAUCAGUGGGUAACAGGGAUGCUCCACAAAACAGAAGGUUGCUACCAAAUUCCCAUAAAAGCUAGUGAAUUAAGGUUGUUUAGUUUCUGGUACAACGGUGCCCAAAUUGUAUAUCAAAAUUCAUGCAAUCUUAGAGUGAUUCUAAAUCUGUAGCAACAAACAAAUUCCAGCCUGGGUGUCAAGAUUUCUCAAUUUUGUCUUAUAGUUGCAUGUAUGUGGAGGCACAAAUGAGAAACACGGAAAAGCAUCAUGAAAAAUGAAUUCAGGAUUUAAGGUACUAAAGAAAUUCGAAUUGUGUUUGCAGAACAGAUGUACGCCCUCCGUCCCAUAAUUCUUGUCGAAAUAUUACAUGUAUCUAGACACCUUUUUAAAAAUAGAUACAUCCAUUUUGGGGCAAAUUUGAGACAAGAAUUAUGGGACGGAGGGAGUAGCAUAUAGACCAAGGAGAAAGUGUGUUAAACAAGCAUCAAGAAAAAUAUCUUCAGUAACACAACUUUGUUUCAGAUGUAAACCGCCAAAGGCCUAUUGAAUAUUUUCUAAAUAGAAUUUUGUUGCUACCCCCAUCAAGCACCCAACAAAGGAAAUACUUACAGAUCACAUUGAAUGACUUAAGCAAAUAGACACGACUCUUUGUUGUUUUCUUUUCAAUUUUUAACAUGCGACAAAAAAAUAAGUACAGGAGUAGUCCCCACCAAAUGCUUCAAUGAAGCAGCAACAAAAAUACACUUACUGCAUGUUUAGCAAGUCAUCCGAGUAUAUUUAUGUUUGCACAUGAUAAUAGCAUUAUAAUAGAUUAAUUAGUUCAACAUAAAAACCAACAAUGAUCAAAGGUAACACAUACAUGACCAAAUGUAUGACCCAGGUUUAGUGUUGCUCGGAGACCACUUUCCUUCUCAUCCUGGGCAACCACUUCAGCUUUGUUUUCACACGAUCUCUUUAUAGCAUAGGUCAGGGCACUUGGU